Molecule: ribosomal RNA, 203 nt
Filed under: uncultured Streptococcus sp.
Lineage: Bacteria; Bacillati; Bacillota; Bacilli; Lactobacillales; Streptococcaceae
Description: partial 16S ribosomal RNA
Rfam family: Bacterial small subunit ribosomal RNA
Source: RNAcentral
CUGAGAGGGUGAUCGGCCACACUGGGACUGAGACACGGCCCAGACUCCUACGGGAGGCCGCCGUAGGGAAUUUUUGGCAAUGGGGGCCACCCUGACCGCGCACCGCCGCGUGAGUGAAGAAGGUCUUUGGAUCGUAAAGCUCUGUUGUAAGAGAAGAACGAGUGUGAGAGUGGAAAGUCACACUUGACGGAUCUACCAGAAAG